CAGGUAGGGAUACCCGCUGAACUUAAGCAUAUCAAUAAGCGGAGG
This 45-nucleotide ribosomal RNA is filed under the name Neofusicoccum parvum. Its description in RNAcentral is "partial 28S ribosomal RNA". The record is from RNAcentral. Lineage: Eukaryota; Fungi; Ascomycota; Dothideomycetes; Botryosphaeriales; Botryosphaeriaceae.